AAAGUCUAGCUGAUUAUGCCUAUGAGUGAGCUGUGCAAUGAGAGUUAAGGUUUCUGAUACUCAAAGUAUUUAUUAUGCCUGUUCUAAAUUUUUAAUCAAGCCUCUUAACAACUUGGGUUAGUAAUGCCUGAGAGAAACACGCUGUUUGCAGACAUCUUGGUUUGCUGAAUCAUGUGAUAGUCGUACUCCUGUGGAAAAGUCGGUGUAUAACCUUCCCUUCCUCCACUUCAUGGGAGACUCCAAGAAGUCAGUUGGGAUACGUGCAAAGCGUGUGGGCAAGUUAGGUCAUAUUCAGGGAUGAGGUAAGAUGUUUCGUAAUUUAUGCAUUGCUGAGUGGGUGUAAAUUAUGCUGAAUGGCUAGAUCCUGUGAUUUUCUGGUAGUUACUGUCCU
This 391-nucleotide long non-coding RNA is filed under the name Anas platyrhynchos platyrhynchos (common mallard). RNAcentral describes it as "lncRNA (ENSAPLG00000024860.1)". The record is from RNAcentral. Lineage: Eukaryota; Metazoa; Chordata; Aves; Anseriformes; Anatidae.